This 504-nucleotide ribosomal RNA is filed under the name uncultured bacterium. RNAcentral's name for it is "partial 16S ribosomal RNA". It matches the Rfam family "Bacterial small subunit ribosomal RNA", at positions 28 to 523 of the family's 1533-position model. The record is from RNAcentral.
GAUGAACGCUAGCGGCAGGCUUAACACAUGCAAGUCGAGGGGCAGCAUAAAUAGUAGCAAUACUAUUGGUGGCGACCGGCGGACGGGUGCGUAACGCGUAUACAACCUUCCCUAAACAGGGGGAUAAUCUGGAGAAAUUCGGUCUAAUACCCCAUAACAUCAGAGCAGGCAUCUGUUUUGGUUAAAAUUUCCGGAGGCUUAGGAUGGGUAUGCGUAGCAUUAGCUAGUUGAUGAGGUAACGGCUCACCAAGGCGACGAUGCUUAGGGGGACUGAGAGGUUGACCCCCCACACUGGUACGGAGAGACGGACCAGACUCCUACGGGAGGCAGCAGUGAGGAAUAUUGGUCAAUGGGCGGAAGCCUGAACCAGCCAUGCCGCGUGCAGGAUGACGGCUCUAUGAGUUGUAAACUGCUUUUGUACGAGGGUAAAGUGGGCUACGUGUAGCCUUUUGAAAGUAUCGUACGAAUAAGGAUCGGCUAACUCCGUGCCAGCCGCCGCCGUAA